CAGGGUUUGAACUCACAUCCCCUGCAUUGGAAGGUGGAUUCUUAACCACUGGACUACCAGGGAAGUUCCACAAUGGUGAAUUUUUAUGUGGGUGACGAGCCAUAUGAAUGUUGGAAAUGAGAAACCUUUCUGCAGAGGGUCACCCUCAGAUCACCUACUACCCAGCAGUGCCCUCAUGGAAGCCAGUCCAAGAGAAAGCACACUUUUUCUGAUCAAGGCCACACCAAGACAAUAGCACUCUGCCUGGGGGAAGAAUUUUGUGCCCUUUC
RNAcentral lists this long non-coding RNA (269 nucleotides) under Bos indicus x Bos taurus (hybrid cattle). RNAcentral describes it as "lncRNA (ENSBIXG00005017777.1)". The record is from RNAcentral. Lineage: Eukaryota; Metazoa; Chordata; Mammalia; Artiodactyla; Bovidae.